Molecule: ribosomal RNA, 253 nt
Filed under: uncultured bacterium
Lineage: Bacteria
Description: partial 16S ribosomal RNA
Rfam family: Bacterial small subunit ribosomal RNA
Source: RNAcentral
UACGUAGGUGGCAAGCGUUGUCCGGAUUUACUGGGCGUAAAGCGAGCGCAGGCGGACUGUUAAGUAGGAAGUGAAAGGUCGGAGCUCAACUCCAACAUUGCUUUCUAUACUGGCAGUCUUGAGUCACGGAGGGGAAAGCGGAACGACACGUGUAGCGGUGAAAUGCGUUGAUAUGUGUCGGAACACCAAUGGCGAAGGCAGCUUUCUGGACGAUGACUGACGCUCAGGCACGAAAGCGUGGGGAGCAAACAGG